RNAcentral lists this microRNA precursor (100 nucleotides) under Gossypium raimondii (Peruvian cotton). RNAcentral describes it as "miR8728 stem-loop (gra-MIR8728)". Lineage: Eukaryota; Viridiplantae; Streptophyta; Magnoliopsida; Malvales; Malvaceae. The record is from miRBase by way of RNAcentral.
CGGGUCGGGUCGGGCUUGGGCAAAAUUUUAGGCUCAUUUUUUAGGCCAGACCCGGCCUAGUAAAUGGGCCUGAAUUUUUAGUUAAGCCUGGCCUGAACCU